AUUAGGCAGAUGCACAGCUGGAGGUGGGAUCCACACAGCUCAGAACAGCUGGAUCUUGCUCACACUCUUUCAAGGGAAGCUUCCUUG
This 87-nucleotide small RNA is filed under the name Pongo abelii (Sumatran orangutan). RNAcentral describes it as "processed transcript". The record is from RNAcentral. Lineage: Eukaryota; Metazoa; Chordata; Mammalia; Primates; Hominidae.